Molecule: ribosomal RNA, 524 nt
Filed under: Bifidobacterium longum subsp. infantis
Lineage: Bacteria; Bacillati; Actinomycetota; Actinomycetes; Bifidobacteriales; Bifidobacteriaceae
Description: bacterial SSU rRNA
Rfam family: Bacterial small subunit ribosomal RNA
Source: RNAcentral
GGGUGGUAAUGCCGGAUGCUCCAGUUGUUCGCAUGGUCUUCUGGGAAAGCUUUCGCGGUAUGGGAUGGGGUCGCGUCCUAUCAGCUUGACGGCGGGGUAACGGCCCACCGUGGCUUCGACGGGUAGCCGGCCUGAGAGGGCGACCGGCCACAUUGGGACUGAGAUACGGCCCAGACUCCUACGGGAGGCAGCAGUGGGGAAUAUUGCACAAUGGGCGCAAGCCUGAUGCAGCGACGCCGCGUGAGGGAUGGAGGCCUUCGGGUUGUAAACCUCUUUUAUCGGGGAGCAAGCGAGAGUGAGUUUACCCGUUGAAUAAGCACCGGCUAACUACGUGCCAGCAGCCGCGGUAAUACGUAGGGUGCAAGCGUUAUCCGGAAUUAUUGGGCGUAAAGGGCUCGUAGGCGGUUCGUCGCGUCCGGUGUGAAAGUCCAUCGCUUAACGGUGGAUCCGCGCCGGGUACGGGCGGGCUUGAGUGCGGUAGGGGAGACUGGAAUUCCCGGUGUAACGGUGGAAUGUGUAGAUAU